RNAcentral lists this long non-coding RNA (360 nucleotides) under Gossypium barbadense (sea-island cotton). RNAcentral describes it as "long non-coding RNA (GBAR_LNC012618)". Lineage: Eukaryota; Viridiplantae; Streptophyta; Magnoliopsida; Malvales; Malvaceae. The record is from RNAcentral.
CUUAAAUUAUCGAGACCCAUACAUACAAAGAUCUAGGUUGCGAAGUACGAGUUGGAUAGACACAUUUCCUUACUAAAAGGAAGAGUUGAGUUUGAUCCCUUCUAUCCAAGGGAUGUACGGUUAGAAGAAGAUUAGCGCCUUAACUUGUGGGCUCCGAAUCUUACCUCGAAAACUAGAGGGAUAAGAAAGCUAGAACGAAGUUUAUUGAGCAGAAAGGUUGGCUUUUAAAGGGAUCUCGGAGAUCGUAACUCGUGGGGGUAGGAAUUAGGGGUCCUUUCACUAGAGGCAAGGAAAGGCUCUAUGAAUAAGGUCUAUUGCAAUCAUUCCUCCCUAGCUUAAGAACUAGGAAGAAACGUAAAC